AGUAGUUGAUCAGUGGCUACAGAACGACGCUGGCGGCAGGCUUAACACAUGCAAGUCGAACGGUUGUAGCAAUACAGCAGUGGCGCACGGGUGAGUAACGCGUGGAUAUCUGCCUUUUGGUUCGGAAUAACUCCGGGAAACUGGAGCUAAUACCGGAUGGUUCCUGCGGGAUAAAGAUUUAUCGCCAAAAGAUGAGUCCGCGUACGAUUAGCUAGUUGGUGAGGUAAUGGCUCACCAAGGCGACGAUCGUUAGCUGGUCUGAGAGGACGAUCAGCCACACUGGGACUGAGACACGGCCCAGACUCCUACGGGAGGCAGCAGUGGGGAAUAUUGGACAAUGGGGGCAACCCUGAUCCAGCCAUGCCGCGUGAGUGAUGAAGGCCUUCGGGUUGUAAAGCUCUUUUGGCGGGGACGAUGAUGACGGUACCCGCAGAAUAAGCCCCGGCUAACUUCGUG
This 456-nucleotide ribosomal RNA is filed under the name uncultured bacterium. RNAcentral describes it as "bacterial SSU rRNA". It matches the Rfam family "Bacterial small subunit ribosomal RNA", at positions 8 to 507 of the family's 1533-position model. The record is from RNAcentral.